GUGCUCAUUUUUAUAAAUUAUAUAUGAAUUAUUAUUAAUAAAAGUUAUUUGAUUUUUUUAUCAUAUUUUAUCUAUUUUACUUGAACUUCUGUGUUGUGAUGAAGUCCUUAGGACUAUAUUUAAUCGAUAAAGGAGGAUUUAUCGUUUAAUCCUUAAAACAUAUUCGCGAUCAAAUGGUAUGCUAUUAAUAGGAUGAUAGUGAUAUCGAGUAUAAAUCGUUGUGUGCCAUAUGGAUUGGUUGUCCUCUUAAUCAAGGAGUAUGGAGACACUGGUAUGGUAUGCAGGUGGAAUGUAGGAGUACAUUCACACCAAACAUGAUCAAUUACGGAGUGCUCUACUGUCAAGAGUUGCUCACGAAGGGUAUGGGUAUAAGUAUCUUUUCGAUCUGAGAUCAUCAUGGUGACUUAUAAGCAACUCAUUGUACUUUGAUGUUAGACCAUCUAAAUUUUUAAUUCAGUGAUAGAAGGUUUCUAGGUACAGUCAAGUACUUAUCAAGAUGGUGCGUGAGUCAAGAUGGGAUUGAUCCUUCUGAAUAAGUAGGAGUUAAUGUAUCAGUGUAUUUCAAUUUAGUAAAAUCUUGAUCAGGAUAAUCCAUAUGAUGGAUUUGAAAGGCUGAAAUACAAUAUGGUCGACUAUUUUAAGGUUGAUAGUUAAACCCUAUGUCAUCUUGAGCAUUGGGAUCAAAGAGAUAAAUUAUACGGUAACCAUACACCAGUAGGUUCUAGAAUAUUGCUUUACAAUCUUUCGACCUAUCCAGACGUCAGGUCCCAUUAUUAGAUGGUUACAUCGAUUAGUAUAAAAAUUUAUUCCUAUGCUACUGGCUUAAGUUCAAACCUAUGGAGUCACAUAUAUAAGAAGAUUCAAUAUGAUCAGAUGGCUGAAAAGUCCCAUUGAAUUGGGACUCUAGUGAAGAGUCCCACUGGAUUGGGACUUUGGAGGAGAGUCCCACUAGAUUGGGACUCUGCUAUUAAUAGAUGAUUUAUUAGCAAUUAGAUUGCUAAUUGACUCAAUUUGAUUAAACAAAGAGA
This 1028-nucleotide long non-coding RNA is filed under the name Elaeis guineensis (African oil palm). RNAcentral describes it as "long non-coding RNA (EGUI_LNC035138)". The record is from RNAcentral. Lineage: Eukaryota; Viridiplantae; Streptophyta; Magnoliopsida; Arecales; Arecaceae.